This 266-nucleotide ribosomal RNA is filed under the name uncultured archaeon. Its description in RNAcentral is "partial 16S ribosomal RNA". It matches the Rfam family "Archaeal small subunit ribosomal RNA", at positions 748 to 1008 of the family's 1478-position model. The record is from RNAcentral.
CAGCCGUAAACUAUGCGCGUUAGGUGUACUGGUGACCACGAGUCACCGGGGUGCCGAAGGGAAACCGUGAAACGUGCCGCCUGGGAAGUACGGUCGCAAGGCUGAAACUUAAAGGAAUUGGCGGGGGGAGGCACCACAACGGGUGGGAGCCUGCGGGUUUAAUUUGGACUCAACGCCGGAAAUCUCACCGGAUAGGACAGACAUAUGAUAGUCGGGCUGAAGACUCUACUUGAUGAUCUGAGAGGUGGUGCAUGGCGUCAGUGACU